RNAcentral lists this long non-coding RNA (218 nucleotides) under Glycine max (soybean). RNAcentral describes it as "long non-coding RNA (GMAX_LNC004720)". Lineage: Eukaryota; Viridiplantae; Streptophyta; Magnoliopsida; Fabales; Fabaceae. The record is from RNAcentral.
CGGGAUCUAUACAUCAAACCGAAAUGAACAUUGAGCAAUACUUAUCUUGACCUUAAACGAAUUUUAAAUGUUCAAAACAUCAUAUUGAUGUUGAAAAGAAUAUCCUCAAACACAAUCUUGUAAGUGUGUUAUCAAUUAUGAUUGGCUUCUUAGCUCCAGAACUAGAUAACUGGUAAGGUUUAUGAGCGAAGGCAAUGAAUGAGCGUGGUAACCGUGUG